RNAcentral lists this long non-coding RNA (660 nucleotides) under Homo sapiens (human). RNAcentral's name for it is "HSALNT0397932". Lineage: Eukaryota; Metazoa; Chordata; Mammalia; Primates; Hominidae. The record is from RNAcentral.
GUAAUCUCAGCUACUCAGGAGGCUGAGGCAGGAGAAUCGCUUGAACCUGGGAGGCGGAGGUUGCAGUGAGCCAAGAUUGGGCCACUCCACUCCAGCGUGGGCAACAGAGUGAGACCCUGUCUCAAAAAAAAAAAAAAAAAAAAAAAAAGAACUUGGUCCCUUAUCCUAACUCAGAUACUCCUUUCUAUUGACUCCAGGUCUUUAGUUAAACUCUUUCAACCAACUGCCAAUCAGAAAAUCUUUGAAUCCAUCCAUGACCUGGAAUCCCCACCUCCCCUCCCUUCCACCCCACUGCCUUGCUUUCAGUUGUCCCACCUUUCCAGACCAAACCAGUGUAUAUCUUACACGUGUUGGUUGAUGUCUCAUGUUUCCCUAAAAUGUAUAAAAGCAAGCUGUGCCCCAAUGACCUUGGGCAUGUGUUCCCAGGAUCUCUUGGGGUUGUGUUAUGGGUCAUGGUCACUCGUAUUUGGCUCAGAAUAAAUCUCUUCAAAUAUUUUACAGAGUUUGACUCUUUUGGUUGACCAACCAGCUAUAAAUCGGGGGGUUUGCAUGCCUCCCUCAUAAUGUUCGAUAAUUUUCUAGAACAGCUCACAGAACUCAGGAAGACACUUUACUUAUGUUUACCAGUUUAAUAUAAAGGGUACAAGGGAACAGAUGAAG